Molecule: ribosomal RNA, 796 nt
Filed under: Microbacterium sp. WBQ_14S
Lineage: Bacteria; Bacillati; Actinomycetota; Actinomycetes; Micrococcales; Microbacteriaceae
Description: bacterial SSU rRNA
Rfam family: Bacterial small subunit ribosomal RNA
Source: RNAcentral
GCGCAGAUAUCAGGAGGAACACCGAUGGCGAAGGCAGAUCUCUGGGCCGUAACUGACGCUGAGGAGCGAAAGGGUGGGGAGCAAACAGGCUUAGAUACCCUGGUAGUCCACCCCGUAAACGUUGGGAACUAGUUGUGGGGUCCUUUCCACGGAUUCCGUGACGCAGCUAACGCAUUAAGUUCCCCGCCUGGGGAGUACGGCCGCAAGGCUAAAACUCAAAGGAAUUGACGGGGACCCGCACAAGCGGCGGAGCAUGCGGAUUAAUUCGAUGCAACGCGAAGAACCUUACCAAGGCUUGACAUACACGAGAACACCCUAGAAAUAGGGGACUCUUUGGACACUCGUGAACAGGUGGUGCAUGGUUGUCGUCAGCUCGUGUCGUGAGAUGUUGGGUUAAGUCCCGCAACGAGCGCAACCCUCGUUCUAUGUUGCCAGCACGUAAUGGUGGGAACUCAUGGGAUACUGCCGGGGUCAACUCGGAGGAAGGUGGGGAUGACGUCAAAUCAUCAUGCCCCUUAUGUCUUGGGCUUCACGCAUGCUACAAUGGCCGGUACAAAGGGCUGCAAUACCGUGAGGUGGAGCGAAUCCCAAAAAGCCGGUCCCAGUUCGGAUUGAGGUCUGCAACUCGACCUCAUGAAGUCGGAGUCGCUAGUAAUCGCAGAUCAGCAACGCUGCGGUGAAUACGUUCCCGGGUCUUGUACACACCGCCCGUCAAGUCAUGAAAGUCGGUAACACCUGAAGCCGGUAGCCUAACCUCUUGUGGGCGAGCCGACGAUAUAUGGAGGUCCGGCGGCCC